AAUGAACGCUGGCGGCGCGCCUAAUACAUGCAAGUCGAGCGAGAAGACGUAGCAAUACGUUUGUAAAGCGGCGAACGGGUGAGGAAUACAUGGGUAACCUACCCUAGAGUGGGGAAUAACUAGCCGAAAGGUUAGCUAAUACCGCGUACGCUCCUUGGACUUCGGUUCAGGGAGGAAAGCGAUGCCGAGGGUAUCGCGCUCUUGGAUGGGCUCAUGUCCUAUCAGCUUGUUGGGAGGUACGGCUCACCAAGGCUUCGACGGGUAGCUGGUCUGAGAGGACGAUCAGCCACACUGGCACUGCGAC
This 304-nucleotide ribosomal RNA is filed under the name uncultured bacterium. RNAcentral's name for it is "bacterial SSU rRNA". It matches the Rfam family "Bacterial small subunit ribosomal RNA", at positions 29 to 325 of the family's 1533-position model. The record is from RNAcentral.